AAACUCUGGUGUCAGCAAUAUGAUCCAUGAAAGAAAAAUAUCCACAUCCACUAUUGCAGAGAUUUCAGACUGCUCUCUUUUCGACAGUGGGUUGUAUUGCAGCAGCAGCAGCAGCAGCAGCUCGUUCUCCUGCAGCAGCACGGCCCCAGAGACGUGACUGUGGUCUUCAAUAAGCAGCUGUGUAUAAUCAGAAAGAAGAGUUUCCAGAAUGGACAGCAAAAGAGCUCCUGACAUUUACUACGAAAGGCAUGCAGCCAUGGACAGUUGCAGUUAUGAGGUCAGUAUUAGUCAGCCAAGUCUUGUCAAUAUUUGCUGGGUCCCAAGUCUGAACCGAG
Molecule: non-coding RNA, 335 nt
Organism: Pimephales promelas (fathead minnow)
Lineage: Eukaryota; Metazoa; Chordata; Actinopteri; Cypriniformes; Leuciscidae
Source: RefSeq, a predicted model, not a curated record